RNAcentral lists this ribosomal RNA (2051 nucleotides) under activated sludge metagenome. RNAcentral describes it as "bacterial LSU rRNA". It matches the Rfam family "Bacterial large subunit ribosomal RNA", at positions 1 to 2067 of the family's 2925-position model. The record is from RNAcentral.
CGAAGAAAUAAAGGGCGAACGGCGGAUGCCUUGGCUUCUAUAGGCGAUGAAAGACGCGGUAAGCUGCGAAAAUGGCCGGGGAUCGGCAAACACGAGAUGAUCCGGCCGUUUCUGAAUGGGGCAACCCGGCAGGUUGAAGACCUGUCACGUAUAUUAUACGGGCAAACUCAGGGAACUGAAACAUCUUAGUACCUGAAGGAAAAGAAAGAAACAUCGAUUUCCCUAGUAGUGGCGAGCGAACAGGAAACAGCCCAAACCGUCAUCUGUUACGGCAAUGACGGGGUCAUAGGACCUCACGACUCGUUUGUCAAACGAACCGGAAGUAUCUGGAAAGUUACAUCGCAGAGGGUGAUAAUCCCGUACGGGCAAGUUUGACAAACGACAGAGUACUCCUGAGUAGGGCGGGACACGAAGAAUCCUGUCUGAAUUCGCGGGGCCCAUCCCGCAAGGCUAAAUACUCAUAGAAGACCGAUAGAGAACCAGUACUGUGAAGGAAAGGUGAAAAGAACCCCUGACAGGGGAGUGCAACAGACCCUGAAACCGUUCGUCUACAAGCUGUCGGAGCCCCUUUAUUGGGGUGACGGCGUGCCUUUUGGAUAAUGAGCCUACGAGUUGUAUCACAUUAGCGAGGUUAAGUGCUUCAGGCACGUAAGCCGGAGCGAGAGCGAGUCUUAAUAGGGCGCAUAGUUGGUGUGAACAGACGCGAAACCUAGUGAUCUACCCUUGGCCAGGUUGAAGUUACCGUAACAGGUGAUGGAGGACCGAACCGGUAAAAGUUGAAAAUUUUUCGGAUGAGCUGAGGGUAGGGGUGAAAGGCUAAUCAAACUGGGAGAUAGCUCGUACUCCCCGAAAUGUCUUUAGGGACAGCCUCAUGAUAGUUUACCGGAGGUAGAGCUACUGAUAGGAUGCGAGGGUUUCACCGCCUAUCAAUUCCUGACAAACUCCGAAUGCCGGUAAAUGUUUCAUGGGAGUGAGUCGCCGGGUGCUAAUGUCCGGUGGCAAAAGGGAAACAGCCCAGACCAACAGUUAAGGCCCCCAAUAGUGGUUUAAGUUGAUCAAACGCGGUGACAUUGCAGAGACAGCUAGGAUGUUAGCUUGGAAGCAGCUAUUCAUUUAAAGAGUGCGUAACAGCUCACUAGUCGAGCGAUGUUGCAUGGAUAAUAAUCGGGCAUCAAGACCACAGCCGAAACUAUGGACUCCGAAAGGAGUGGUAGGGGAGCAUUCCAAUCGGCGCAGAAGGCAUACCGUGAGGUAUUCUGGAGCGAUUGGAAGAGAAGAUGUAGGCAUAAGUAACGAUAAUGCGGGUGAGAACCCCGCACACCGAAAACCCAAGGUUUCCUGGACAACGCUAAUCGGUCCAGGGUUAGUCGGGCCCUAAGUCGUAACCGAAGGGUGAAGACGAUGGCCAAAUGUUUAAUAUUCCAUUACCUGUUAUAUGAGAGAAGGAGUGACGGAGCAGUGACACGCGCGCCAACUGACGGAAUAGUUGGUUGAAGGACGUAGAUAUACUUUCCUGUUAAUAGCUGGUGAGUGUUGAAAUCCGACAGUACGCCGAGUCUUCGGACGAGGUGAUAGUCGCGGUAAUCAGACUUCCAAGAAAACCUCCGUAUCGUUAAUCAUAUGACAGCCCGUACCGUAAACCGACACAGGUGGGUGAGGAGAGAAUCCUCAGGUGCUCGAGUGAAUCAUGGCUAAGGAACUAGGCAACUUGACCCCGUAACUUCGGGAUAAGGGGCCCCUCCGUGAUGGAGGGCGCAGAGAAAUGGCUCAGGCGACUGUUUAGCAAAAACACAUGGCUUUGCAAAUUCGCAAGAAUAUGUAUAAGGCCUGACACCUGCCCGGUGCUGGAAGGUUAAGAGGGGGUGUUAGCUGACGCAAGGAAGCGAAGCACUGAAUCGAAGCCCCAGUAAACGGCGGCCGUAACUAUAACGGUCCUAAGGUAGCGAAAUUCCUUGUCGGGUAAGUUCCGACCUGCACGAAUGGUGUAACGAUCUGAGCGCUGUCUCGGCCAUGAGCUCGGUGAAAUUGUAGUAACGGUGAAGAUGCCGUUU